CCUCGUCUAGCCUACGUCACAUCCGGGAAGAUACUUCAGUUCAACACGGCAGAUGGACGGUGAGACUGGAGACGUGUGUGCCACGUCGGGGAUAAAAAUGGGAAGGUACAACUGGUUUUUACCACUUCGGCCGCAGCAGAUUGCUACUCGCAGCACACGUGAACGUUCAUUCUGCAGACUUUUCCAGCGAGGCCUGGCCUUCAGUGGCCCUGUCCUUUCCUGUACUGUCUGCUAGAGAGAUGUGGGGCUGUUUGAGGCCCUGCUGUGACUCUUCAUGGCAGGGUUAUAGGACUGCUGAGAUGAAGCCAAGUCCUGCCCCGCUCAGACCUCCUCACUGACAUCUGGUACUCAUGUAGGAGUUUGACGCUUAAGUGAAAAUUCAGGACUGCUGAGAUGAAGCCAAGACCUGCCCUGCUCAGACCUCCUCACUGACAUCUGGUACUCAUGUAGGAGUUUGACGCUUAAUUGAAAAUUCAGGACUGCUGAGAUGAAGCCAAGACCUGCCCCGCUCAGACCUCCUCACUGACAUCUGGUACUCAUGUAGGAGUUUGACGCUUAAUUGAAAAUUCAGCCCUGUGAUUGAUUGACUGGCGACCUGUACAGGAUGUACCCGGCCAAAUCAAAGCAGCUGUAGCCUAACAGAUGGAAGACAGUUUCCAGACUCCUGUUGCAGCUGUGGAUGGAAGAGGAGGACCUGGGAGUCAGCCAAAACUGACGUGGAGGGAUUACAGGUUUUCAGGACCUUCCUGGAUUGUCGGCAAAAGAUCAUGUGACUUUGAGCAUCGUCAGGAGAUAUCUGGACUUCAAGGAAGUAAAAGCACAGAGGAAGAAAUACUUUGAAUCAUUCCGACCCAAACCAAAGCACUGGGGGGCCGUAGUUCAUCCUGCGGAGGUCUCUCACUAAGACACAUUUACAUGAUUUCACAGAUUAUAUGAGGAUUGCUCCACUGUGUAUCAGAGGAUACAACCGACAGCUUGCCGAUAGAAGUGGUUCAAACUGUUUUUCUGAGAAGAAUGAAACUUUGACUGACCUCUACCUGCAAAUAGUGGGAACUGCAUCAACAUCUUCUGCACAGAUUUCUCACAACACACAUCGCUUCACUGUCCUUUGAAGUACCGAUGGAAGUUGAUAUAAACUGUAAAGUCACAUUUGCACAAAAUGAGGGAAUACACCAGCUGAUGAAAGCGGAAUUACAAUAGAAAAAUUGAGUAAAGAGAUAACAUGCAACAUACUGGUGCUGUGUCUUGAUUUUCUGGUUUGAGAAUGAGUUACACUUUAAUUUGUUUUGUGACAGAAGGAACAUCACCAACGAAAAUGUAACAUUGAACCCAUAUUUCACAAUAACUGAACUAGUAGGAAAGUGGGAUAUGAAACACUUGAAAUAAAAUUUAUCUGAACACGUU
Long non-coding RNA from Xiphias gladius (swordfish), 1404 nucleotides. RefSeq lists it as uncharacterized. The record is from RefSeq and is a predicted model, not a curated record. The transcript is spliced from 9 exons. Lineage: Eukaryota; Metazoa; Chordata; Actinopteri; Istiophoriformes; Xiphiidae.